UACGUAGGCAGCAAGCGUUGUUCGGAGUUACUGGGCGUAAAGAGUGCGUAGGCGGUUGACCAAGUCUGUCGUGAAAUCUCCCGGCUUAACUGGGAGGGUGCGGUGGAAACUGGUUGGCUUGAGAGUGGGAGAGGUAAGCGGAAUUCCUGGUGUAGCGGUGAAAUGCGUAGAUAUCAGGAGGAACACCGGUGGUGUAGACGGCUUACUGGACCACGACUGACGCUGAGGCACGAAAGCGUGGGUAGCAAACAG
Molecule: ribosomal RNA, 252 nt
Filed under: uncultured bacterium
Lineage: Bacteria
Description: partial 16S ribosomal RNA
Rfam family: Bacterial small subunit ribosomal RNA
Source: RNAcentral